This 447-nucleotide ribosomal RNA is filed under the name uncultured bacterium. RNAcentral's name for it is "bacterial SSU rRNA". It matches the Rfam family "Bacterial small subunit ribosomal RNA", at positions 330 to 793 of the family's 1533-position model. The record is from RNAcentral.
UCCAGACUCCUACGGGAGGCAGCAGUGGGGAAUAUUGCACAAUGGGGGAAACCCUGAUGCAGCGACGCCGCGUGAGUGAAGAAGUAUUUCGGUAUGUAAAGCUCUAUCAGCAGGGAAGAAGAAAGACGGUACCUGACUAAGAAGCCCCGGCUAACUACGUGCCAGCAGCCGCGGUAAUACGUAGGGGGCAAGCGUUAUCCGGAUUUACUGGGUGUAAAGGGAGCGUAGACGGCUGUGCAAGUCUGAAGUGAAAGCCCGGGGCUCAACCCCGGGACUGCUUUGGAAACUGUGUUGCUGGAGUGCUGGAGAGGCAAGCGGAAUUUCUAGUGUAGCGGUGAAAUGCGUAGAUAUUAGGAAGAACACCAGUGGCGAAGGCGGCUUGCUGGACAGUAACUGACGUUGAGGCUCGAAAGCGUGGGGAGCAAACAGGAUUAGAUACCCCAGUAC